RNAcentral lists this transfer RNA (85 nucleotides) under Felis catus (domestic cat). It matches the Rfam family "tRNA". From Rfam's summary of the family: Transfer RNA (tRNA) molecules are approximately 80 nucleotides in length. Their secondary structure includes four short double-helical elements and three loops (D, anti-codon, and T loops). Further hydrogen bonds mediate the characteristic L-shaped molecular structure. tRNAs have two regions of fundamental functional importance: the anti-codon, which is responsible for specific mRNA codon recognition, and the 3' end, to which the tRNAs corresponding amino acid is attached (by aminoacyl-tRNA synthetases). tRNAs cope with the degeneracy of the genetic code in two manners: having more than one tRNA (with a specific anti-codon) for a particular amino acid; and 'wobble' base-pairing, i.e. permitting non-standard base-pairing at the 3rd anti-codon position. The record is from Rfam by way of RNAcentral. Lineage: Eukaryota; Metazoa; Chordata; Mammalia; Carnivora; Felidae.
ACCUGAGUGGCUCAGUCGGUUGAGCAUCUGACUUCAGCUCAGGUCAUGAUCUCAUGGUUCGUGAGUUCGAGCCCCGCAUCAGGCU